RNAcentral lists this ribosomal RNA (848 nucleotides) under uncultured bacterium. Its description in RNAcentral is "bacterial SSU rRNA". It matches the Rfam family "Bacterial small subunit ribosomal RNA", at positions 54 to 888 of the family's 1533-position model. The record is from RNAcentral.
CAUGCAUGUCGAGCGGGGUAUGGGGGCUUGCUUUCAUACCUAGCGGCGCACGGGUGUGUAACACGUGGAUGAUCUACCCAUCAGUUUGGGAUAACAGUUGGAAACGACUGCUAAUACCGGAUACGCUUCCCUAUCGUCUUUGGAGGGAAAGGCGGCCUCUGCAUAUGCUGCCGCUGGUGGAUGAGUCCGCGUCUCAUUAGGUAGUUGGUGGGGUAAAUGCCUACCAAGCCUACGAUGAGUAGCCGGCCUGAGAGGGUAAUCGGCCACACUGGGACUGGAACACGGCCCAGACUCCUACGGGAGGCAGCAGUGGGGAAUAUUGCGCAAUGGGCGAAAGCCUGACGCAGCGACGCCGCGUGAGGGAAGAAGGCCUUCGGGUCGUAAACCUCUGUCAGGAGGGAAGAAGUGCAGCGGUGCUAAUCAGCCGCUGUUUGACGGUAUCUCCAAAGGAAGCACCGGCUAACUCCGUGCCAGCAGCCGCGGUAAUACGGAGGGUGCGAGCGUUAAUCGGAAUCACUGGGCGUAAAGCGCGCGUAGGCGGCUUUUUAAGUCAGGGGUGAAAUCCCACGGCUCACCCGUGGAACUGCCUUUGAUACUGGAGAGCUGGAGUGUGUGAGAGGAUAGCGGAAUUCCUGGUGUAGGGGUGAAAUCCGUAGAGAUCAGAGGAACAUCAGUGGCGAAAGCGGCUAUCUGGCACAAUACUGACGCUGAGUGCGAAAGCGUGGGUAUCAAACAGGAUUAGAUACCCUGGUAGUCUACGCUGUAACGAUGGAUACUAGGUUGCUUGGGGGCUUGGACUUUCGUGCCGUAGCUACGCGUUAGUAUCCCGCCUGGGGGGAGUACGGUCG